This is a long non-coding RNA of Zingiber officinale, 287 nucleotides long. RefSeq lists it as uncharacterized. The transcript has 3 exons. The record is from RefSeq and is a predicted model, not a curated record. Lineage: Eukaryota; Viridiplantae; Streptophyta; Magnoliopsida; Zingiberales; Zingiberaceae.
UAAAGAGGAAAGAUGCAACUAACGAUCUGAACACAACAAUUGAGGUCAUUGCUUGUGCAUAACAAGUACCUUUAUUGGGACUCUUUAGUGUGCUAGAAUUUCUUUUGCUGUCUUGGUUACAUUUGUUGUUUGCAGACUGGUGAUUUGGAGGGAAUUGAAAAGUACAGCAAAAGGACUAUCAAGGUAACCAAGCAACAUAAUGAAGAUUGUAAACGUCUCUUAAGACUAAUGGGUGUGCCUACUAUUGAGGCACCCUGUGAAGCAGAAGCUCAAUGCGCAGCUCUUUG